CGCUGGCGGCGUGCUUAACACAUGCAAGUCGAACGGGGAUAGCGUGGAAAGCUUCGGCCGGAAGAUGCUAUUCGAGUGGCGGACGGGUGAGUAACGCGUGAACAAUCCUGUCCCAGACAGGGGGAUAACACUUGGAAACAGGUGCUAAUACCGCAUGAGACCACGGUAUCGCAUGGUACAGGGGGUAAAAGGAGCAAUCCGGUUUGGGGUGAGUUCGCGUCCGAUUAGCCAGUUGGCGGGGUAACGGCCCACCAAAGCGACGAUCGGUAGCCGAUCUGAGAGGAUGACCGGCCACAUUGGAACUGAGAGACGGUCCAAACUCCUACGGGAGGCAGCAGUGGGGAAUAUUGGGCAAUGGGCGAAAGCCCUGACCCAGCAACGCCGCGUGAGUGAAGAAGGCCUUCGGGUUGUAAAGCUCUGUUAUAGGGGACGAAGGAAGUGACGGUACCCUAUAAGGAAGCCCCGGCUAACUACGUGCCAGCAGCAGC
This 488-nucleotide ribosomal RNA is filed under the name uncultured bacterium. RNAcentral describes it as "bacterial SSU rRNA". It matches the Rfam family "Bacterial small subunit ribosomal RNA", at positions 34 to 518 of the family's 1533-position model. The record is from RNAcentral.